RNAcentral lists this ribosomal RNA (72 nucleotides) under Lasiodiplodia gonubiensis. Its description in RNAcentral is "partial 28S ribosomal RNA". Lineage: Eukaryota; Fungi; Ascomycota; Dothideomycetes; Botryosphaeriales; Botryosphaeriaceae. The record is from RNAcentral.
ACCUCGCUUUGGAGCGGUUGGCGUCGCCCGCCGGACGAACCUUCUGAACUUUUCUCAAGGUGACCUCGAUCA